UGUCUGUUGCAAAGGCGAAUGUUGUUAU
This 28-nucleotide non-coding RNA is filed under the name Bombyx mori (domestic silkworm). The record is from RNAcentral. Lineage: Eukaryota; Metazoa; Arthropoda; Insecta; Lepidoptera; Bombycidae.